Molecule: ribosomal RNA, 869 nt
Filed under: Phaeocollybia radicata
Lineage: Eukaryota; Fungi; Basidiomycota; Agaricomycetes; Agaricales; Phaeocollybiaceae
Description: eukaryotic LSU rRNA
Rfam family: Eukaryotic large subunit ribosomal RNA (bases 620-869)
Source: RNAcentral
CGGAAGGAUCAUUAAUGAAUAAUCUUGGCGUGGUUGUAGCUGGCCCUCCCCGGGUAAUGUGCUCACGGCGUCAUCUUUAUCUCUCCACCUGUGCACCUUUUGUAGACUUGGAAACUUUUUAGUAAGUAAAGGCUUUUAAUUGAGCUUUUGAACACACAUAGUUUCCAAGGCUAUGUUUUUUCAUAUACCCUAAUGUAUGUAACAGAAUGUAUCAUUGGGCUUUUAUGCCUAUAAACUAUAUACAACUUUCAGCAACGGAUCUCUUGGCUCUCGCAUCGAUGAAGAACGCAGCGAAAUGCGAUAAGUAAUGUGAAUUGCAGAAUUCAGUGAAUCAUCGAAUCUUUGAACGCACCUUGCGCUCCUUGGUAUUCCGAGGAGCAUGCCUGUUUGAGUGUCAUUAAAUUAUCAACCAUAAACAUUUUUUUGUAUUAUGGCUUGGAUAUGGGGGAUUUGCAGGCUCUUUCACUAGAGUCGGCUCCUCUGAAAUGUAUUAGCCAGUGCCCCGCAGUGGACUGUCUAUUGAUGUGAUAAUUAUCUACGUCAUUAGAUGUCUGCAACUUUAAAAUGGGUUUUGCGCUGCUUCUAACCGUCCCUUUUAUAAGGACAAUUUUUGACCAUUUGACCUCAAAUCAGGUAGGACUACCCGCUGAACUUAAGCAUAUCAAUAAGCGGAGGAAAAGAAACUAACAAGGAUUCCCCUAGUAACUGCGAGUGAAGCGGGAAAAGCUCAAAUUUAAAAUCUGGCGGUCUCUGGCCGUCCGAGUUGUAAUCUAGAGAAGCAUUAUCCGCGCUGGACCGUGUACAAGUGUCCUGGAAUGGAACAUCAUAGAGGGUGAGAAUCCCGUCUUUGACACGGACUACCAGGGCUU